AAUGCAGGAAACUUCCAGGGAUUUUCAGGGUUUCACAUAAUACCCUUUUUACCCUGGCUUUUUAAUUAAUUUAUUUUUAUGUGUUUUAAAAAAUAAAAAACCCUGAAAAUCCCUGGAAGUUUCCUGCAUUUAAA
This 134-nucleotide microRNA precursor is filed under the name Pelobates cultripes (western spadefoot toad). Lineage: Eukaryota; Metazoa; Chordata; Amphibia; Anura; Pelobatidae. The record is from RNAcentral.